GACGAACGCUGGCGGCGUGCUUAACACAUGCAAGUCGAACGGAAAGGCCCUGCUUUUGUGGGGUGCUCGAGUGGCGAACGGGUGAGUAACACGUGAGUAACCUGCCCUUGACUUUGGGAUAACUUCAGGACACUGGGGCUAAUACCGGAUCGGAGCUCCUGCUGCAUGGUGGGGGUUGGAAAGUUUCGGCGGUUGGGGAUGGACUCGCGGCUUAUCAGCUUGUUGGUGGGGUAGUGGCUUACCAAGGCUUUGACGGGUAGCCGGCCUGAGAGGGUGACCGGCGACAUUGGGACUGAGAUACGGCACAGACUCCGACGGGAGGCAGCAGUGGGGAAUAUUGCACAAUGGGCGGAAGCCUGAUGCAGCAACGCCGCGUGCGGGAUGACGGCCUUCGGGUUGUAAACCGCUUUCGCCUGGGACGAAGCGUGAGUGACGGUAAUGGGUAAAGAAGCACCGGCUAACUACGUG
Molecule: ribosomal RNA, 468 nt
Filed under: uncultured bacterium
Lineage: Bacteria
Description: partial 16S ribosomal RNA
Rfam family: Bacterial small subunit ribosomal RNA
Source: RNAcentral